GCCUGCCCAUAGUACGAGAGGACCUGGGUGGACGAACCUCUGGUAUGCCGGUUGUCGCGCCAGCGGCACGGCCGGUUGGCCACGUUCGGAAGGGAUAACCGCUGAAAGCAUCUAAGCGGGAAGCCUGCUCCAAGAUAAGCAUUCCAUGGAUCCCCGGAUCCUGAACCCCCCAUGAAGAACACGUGGUCGAUAGGCCGGACGUGGAAGCCCCGCGAGGGGUGGAGCCGACCGGUACUAACGGGGGAAGGCGAAACCCU
Bifidobacterium saguini DSM 23967 is the source of this 257-nucleotide non-coding RNA. The record is from Rfam. Lineage: Bacteria; Bacillati; Actinomycetota; Actinomycetes; Bifidobacteriales; Bifidobacteriaceae.